This 540-nucleotide small RNA is filed under the name Vigna angularis var. angularis. RNAcentral's name for it is "Non-protein coding transcript". Lineage: Eukaryota; Viridiplantae; Streptophyta; Magnoliopsida; Fabales; Fabaceae. The record is from RNAcentral.
UAAUUUAUUUAUGCUUCUUUUAUUCUAUUUUCUAACUAAGCAUUAAUAUUUACUAUUGAUAUAUUGUGAUUUACUAUUGAUAUUAAUAGCUAAGCAUUAAUAUUGGAAGAUGUUAGCUUUGGUGAUAAUUAUGAAGUAGAGCUUACUGAUGGUGAUUCAAAUUCCAUUGGAACUGGAACUACUACUACUAAAAGGCUUUAUAAGAUAAAAACGUAUAAUAGCACAAAGCCAUUUCCUCUAAUGCAAGGUGAAGGAAAAACAUUCAGUUGGGUUGGAGCAAUAUCUACAAUUGAUAGAGAUGAGGAACAAAUUGGGAGAAACCCCAGCUUACAGAGCAGUUGCUCUUGGGAAGAUAGACUUGCUCAGUUUUUCCCAUGGGUUAUAGUGAUUAUUUGAAGAAGAUGAGAAAGAGUGGUGAAUGGGGUGAUCAUGUCACAUUGUAGGCGGCUGCAGAUUGGGUGAGUUAGACCCAGAACUAAGUAUCUUGUUGGCAGAUAUCACCAUUCAUACCACAUAAUAAUAGAGAAAUUAGUUUACCCG